Osmia lignaria (orchard mason bee) is the source of this 1443-nucleotide long non-coding RNA. RefSeq lists it as uncharacterized. The record is from RefSeq and is a predicted model, not a curated record. Lineage: Eukaryota; Metazoa; Arthropoda; Insecta; Hymenoptera; Megachilidae.
AUAAUAUAAUGGUUGAGAAAUUGUCCUUUUUCGAAUUUCCAAGUUAAUGAGACAAAUCUCUGCCUAGGGUGGAUGUCAUUGAAACCUGUUCCCUGCGAGUAAUCGGCCGAUCGGUCGGUUAACAGCCAAACUUUUGACUGACGUGACUUAUUACCAUGUCUUUCGCAGAUGGUCCCUUUCUGCAGUCUCGGGAUACGUGUCAACGAUGUACCAAUAAUUUACCGAUAUCUGCUCCGGCCAAAUUGUCACGCUGUCCUGUUCAAGUGACGAGCUCAACUGCGUUGACCUACUGUCCAGGAGCAACCGAAAAAAGGUCCUCUAGAUUUUAAUUUACUUUGUGACGAACAUGCAUAUGCAACAGCAAAAAGGAUCGUAUCUACAAAAAGCAUCACGGUUACCAAAGAAGCGGAACCGAGAACACUUCUCCUUUAACAGAUCCCAUCUAGAAGAUCCGGCAACGCGAAGGGAAGCGGUGAACCUGAAUACAGAUGCUCUACAAGCUACUGCAGAAUAUCAGCGAUGGGUGAGUGUCGUGAUUAAGUACAACCAUGAAUCAGUAUGUACAUAAAAUUUCAUGCACUACAAAGUAAAUAUUCCAACGAAAUAGUAUGCUUAUUUAUAAAGAGAAAACGGUAUAUUUCGGGAGAUUAACGAUAAUAAGCGUAGAUAUUUAACAACCUUCUAAUUACGGAAAUACAUAUUUUGGAAUAUUAUUCGUUCUCGGUAUUUCACUGAAUAUCAGUUUACUCCGUUCUAUUUCGACCCCCUCCCACAAAUAUCGUUGAUAUGACGGCAGCAAUUAUCGCGUCAAAACACAGCUACGAGUAACAUGGCGUGAAAAUUGUUUACGACAAUCGCCACUUUCUGCAAUUACGAUCCGUAAAUAUCUCUCGACCGAUUGCAGCCAUCUAGUGCCGGUUAAUUAUAGAAGGACAAUAUUUCCCGUAUAUUGAUCGUAUCGUUGUUCAAUUAGAGCGCAGAGAAACGUUAUUAUUACCGAAUCAUACGAUGAUUGUUAAUUAUAUCUCUUUAUCGUUUCCUUGUCAUCCAAAUUUAAAUAAAAUAAUUUUCUAUUGAAAGCAACUUUUUAAAUAUCAGCUUCGCGGCUCUAAAUCUCGAAAAAUAUAAUUUAACCGUCUAUAAAUCACGUAAGCAGAAUCUGGAACGGGCUAAUAAAUAACUCGCUGAGUUUCGCUUCGCUGCAUUCGGACCCUGAAGCGUUGCAGAAGCUCGCUAACUUGAACUUUCAAUUGAUCUUUGCGAGGUAACUUUCACUGAAACGAUCAUAACUUGAAGAGAAUUCAACACAGGUCUCCGUUAACACCUUCCUCCUUUCGUUCGAAGUAGCUACAAAAGCGCGUUAACCCUUUCAGUAUUUACUUCGUCAUAACUACUCGUUUGCUGCAAUAUCGGUGCAGUUGCAGUUGCAGUUUAUGAGAAAAG